AUGAUGAUUAGAAUUUCAGUUUGCUACUUACCUGGACCACCAUGGCAGCAGCAAUACCUACAAUUACAAAGAGAUAUUGGAACAAUUGUCCAGAGAGACCGAGAAUUCUCCGCUACCAUUGACACCAGUACUAGGAAGAGACCUGUCACCUGGAUGACAUGGGGUGCCUCUGAGCUUUGGAUGCAGAAGAGCUUGAGGCACUGCAAACAAAAAGGACAGUAAGCAGCUCUAUUUGGGAACUGGAAGCCUGAUGGAAAGGGAGGUGAACACUCUCCCCUCCUGUAAUUCUUUACUUGACUAGAGAAUUCACCAAUGCCCUGCUGAGGAAGGCACACAGAUGGUCCCAGAAUUACAUUGUAGUUUGAUUUGCAAGAUACUCUGGUUUGCUUUUGCACGGGUUAAUUGGUAAGCUCUAUGUAGUUCAUUUCAGAGUUUUCUCAAUUAAUUUUUUUGGCUGCCUUUGUAAGUUUUCAAGUCCACAAUCUGGUUGCUAAGGAGAAGUUUCUGUAUCACUUGGACCCCACACUGACAUUCAAGUUAAAAAUUUGUAGAGUGGACCAGGUAAGUCACACCCCAGCUGAGGGCCAGAGUGAAGCCUGAAAUUAUGAUUGUGCAUUAUAAACUAAAGUGCAAAAUCAACAUUUAUUUUGUUGCUGGAAUUUUUCAGAGUCAGAUUCUAAGUAUUCCUUUUGUCACUGUCAGCAACAGCCUUCUAACAGUGUUUCCU
This 727-nucleotide long non-coding RNA is filed under the name Canis lupus familiaris (dog). Its description in RNAcentral is "lncRNA (ENSCAFG00040013276.1)". Lineage: Eukaryota; Metazoa; Chordata; Mammalia; Carnivora; Canidae. The record is from RNAcentral.